Molecule: unclassified non-coding RNA, 400 nt
Filed under: uncultured fungus
Lineage: Eukaryota; Fungi
Description: sequence contains ITS1
Rfam family: 5.8S ribosomal RNA (bases 1-105)
Source: RNAcentral
AAACUGCGAUACGUAGUGUGAAUUGCAGAAUUCAGUGAAUCAUCGAAUCUUUGAACGCAAAUUGCGCUGCUGGGCAAUCCCGGCAGCAUGCCUGGCUGAGUAUCAUCUGGACAAAUCGAAUUAAUUUUUUUUAAUUCGGAAAUGAGGCUGUCGCACGCCAACACAAAUGCGUGGGUCCCUUUAAGUUCAGUUAAGGUACAAAGCAUGUUUUCAAUGCAUGUCGUUUAUACCUGCCAGUGUGUCAAUUGUUUGCGGUGUAAUUCUUACAUACGCACAACAUUUAGCACUGUUGUAGGUGAUGUGCACUUGUCAUGCUUCUUUACCACAUUAAAAAUCAAUUGAUGUUUUUACAACAAAUAUCAAAACUUUGAUCUCAGCUCAAGCAAGACUACCCGCUGAA